Molecule: long non-coding RNA, 1707 nt
Organism: Oncorhynchus keta (chum salmon)
Lineage: Eukaryota; Metazoa; Chordata; Actinopteri; Salmoniformes; Salmonidae
Exons: 3
Source: RefSeq, a predicted model, not a curated record
UUACCAUAUGAAAUUUGACCUUGCUCAAAAAUGCAAAAUUGACUGGUCUGAUGAACACAGGAUGGCCGAGCAGUGAGAGUUGUACCUUUCCAUCACUCGUUGUGUUGAUUUCAUCAUGUCCAUUUGUUUAUGUUUUCUCACUUUUGCAAAGUCACUGUGCAUUUGCAAUAUGGUUCAAUGGGCAGGUACCAUCACGAAUUUGUCAUGCUAUAAAAAUCCUGCAGGAAUGUGAAAUUGACUGGCCUGAUGAACACAGGAUGGCCGAGCAGUGAUAGUUGUACAUUUCCAUCACUCGUUGUGUUGAUUUCAUCAUCUCCGUUAGGUGAUGUUUUUACACUAUAGAAUCAUAUUGCAAAUGCACGUGCAUUGUUGUGCAACUGGUAACCCAAAAAUAAAAAUAUGGUUGUAAAUGCAUUUACCGGUCAUUCUGAUAUUAAUGCUCGCUAUGGGAACACAGGAUGGCCGGGCAGUGAUAGUUGUACAUUUCCAUCACUCGUUGUGUUGAUUUCAUCAUGUCCAUUAGGUGAUGUUUUUACACUAUAGAAUCAUAUUGCAAGUGCGCGCGCAUUUGCAAUAUGUUUCAAUGUGCAUUUACCAUAUGAAAUUUGACAUGCUCAAAAAUGCAAAAUUGACUGGUCUGAUGGACACAGGAUGGCCGAGCAGUGAUAGUUGUACAUUUCCAUCACUCGUUGUGUUGAUUUCAUCAUGUCCAUUAGGUGAUGUUUUUACACUAUAGAAUCAUAUUGCAAGUGCGCGCGCAUUUGCAAUAUGUUUCAAUGUGCAUUUACCAUAUGAAAUUUGACAUGCUCAAAAAUGCAAAAUUGACUGGUCUGAUGAACACAGGAUGGCUGAGCAGUGAUAGUUGUACAUUUCCAUCACUCGUUGUGUUGAUUUCAUCAUGUCCAUUUGUUUAUGUUUUCUCACUUUUGCAAAGUCACUGUGCAUUUGCAAUAUGGUUCAAUGGGCAGGUACCAUCACGAAUUUGUCAUGCUAUAAAAAUCCUGCAGGAAUGUGAAAUUGACUGGCCUGAUGAACACAGGAUGGCCUGGCAGUGAUAGUUGUUCCUUUCCAUCACUCGUUGUGUUGAUUUCAUCAUGUCCAUUAGGUGAUGUUUUUUCACUAUAGAAUCAUAUUGCAAAUGCACGUGCAUUGUUGUGCAACUGGUAACCCAAAAAUAAAAAUAUGGUUGUAAAUGCAUUUACCGGUCAUUCUGAUAUUAAUGCUCGCUAUGGGAACACAGGAUGGCCGGGCAGUGAUAGUUGUACAUUUCCAUCACUCGUUGUGUUGAUUUCAUCAUGUCCAUUAGGUGAUGUUUUUACACUAUAGAAUCAUAUUGCAAGUGCGCGCGCAUUUGCAAUAUGUUUCAAUGUGCAUUUACCAUAUGAAAUUUGACAUGCUCAAAAAUGCAAAAUUGACUGGUCUGAUGGACACAGGAUGGCCGAGCAGUGAUAGUUGUACAUUUCCAUCACUCGUUGUGUUGAUUUCAUCAUGUCCAUUAGGUGAUGUUUUUUCACUAUAGAAUCAUAUUGCAAAUGCACGUGCAUUGUUGUGCAACUGGUAACCCAAAAAUAAAAAUAUGGUUGUAAAUGCAUUUACCGGUCAUUCUGAUAUUAAUGCUCGCUAUGGGAACACAGGAUGGCCGGGCAGUGAUAGUUGUACAUUUCCAUCACUCGUUGUGUUGAUUUCAUCAUGUCCAUUAGGUGAUGU